CCGAAGCUCAGUGAAGUCGGCCCGAGAUGGUGUAAAUCCCGUGCUGCCUCUGACUUUAAGAAGUCUGUCCUGGUGGUGGACAGAGGGCUCCCCAAUGGUGUCCUCCCACCCCUACGGCCACACCUGUUCCCACGGCCAAUGCGGUCGCUGCCUUACCCUGAAGCCCGCCACGGCGCAGUAGGACUUGCCUGGCCUCUCUUCUUUCCCACCCCCGUUCCAGUUCCCAUAUUGUGCCACUCUCACAGCUCGGGACGGGGGCUGAUCUGUAACUGCCCUUUUACAGAGCGAUCACAGAGGCUGGCAGACAGUCCCAGCACUUCCCCUCAGUGUCCUGGGAGCAAAGGAUCGAGAGGACUCUUGUGGAACAGAGAUGGUGGACCCGGAACCCCGAGAGAGGACCAACCACGUCAUUGAAAACACACCACGAGGCCAUGCCUGAUGAAAGGCUCCUCACUUUAUCGGUCCAACUCCAUCUCCUGAGAGAAACAGAAAUGUGCCUGCCAUUGUUGUCCUGUGAUCAUGAUGUAGUCUUUCUCUCUCCAAACAUAAAGAGGUUUAAAGCUGACACAGCAACCGAGCAGAGAGCACAGCCCACCCACGGCCUCUUCCUACAUUGGUCUACAUCACAAUGAAAUCUUUAGGGAGGUAAUCCUGCAUACAUCCCGACAGGCACUCACCAGAAAACAACCAUCCAGUGGGACUGGGGAUGGCAGCACCUCCCAUGGGCACAGCGCCCUGCCCCUGAGCAAGCAGAUGACUUCUUUCUCUUCAGCGAAGACCCCCAUGCAGCUGCAAUGGCAGAAAUGCCCAGUUCACUCAUUUUGAGCUUCUUUAAUGAACCUCGUUACAAGGACAGCAUCCCGGGGAACAGAAUUGUGCUGGAGAAGGGCAGAGAUGGAAACACCUUACAGAAGAUUAUCAUUAUUUGCUAUCCUGGGGCAUUUAUAAGCCUAGGCUGACCCCUGCUGACGUCAUUCGGAAGUGGAUGUCCGGGUACCAUGGGCUUCCACCGCCAGCUGCCCACCCACAUCUUCUCUUUGAUUUCCUCACCUGUGGGUUUGAAAAAAUAAACCUGGAAAGGAA
Molecule: long non-coding RNA, 1083 nt
Filed under: Equus asinus (donkey)
Lineage: Eukaryota; Metazoa; Chordata; Mammalia; Perissodactyla; Equidae
Description: lncRNA (ENSEASG00005026904.1)
Source: RNAcentral